CCUACGGGUGGCAGCAGUGAGGAAUAUUGGUCAAUGGACGAGAGUCUGAACCAGCCAAGUAGCGUGAAGGAUGACUGCCCUAUGGGUUGUAAACUUCUUUUAUAUGGGAAUAAAAUGUUCCACGUGUGGGAUUUUGUAUGUACCAUAUGAAUAAGGAUCGGCUAACUCCGUGCCAGCAGCCGCGGUAAUACGGAGGGUCCGAGCGUUAUCCGGAUUUAUUGGGUGUAAAGGGAGCGUAGGUGGAUUGUUAAGUCAGUUGUGAAAGUUUGGGGCUCAACCGUAAAAUUGCAGUUGAAACUGGCAGUCUUGAGUACAGUAGAGGUGGGCGGAAUUCGUGGUGUAGCGGUGAAAUGCUUAGAUAUCACGAAGAACUCCGAUUGCGAAGGCAGUUCACUGGACUGCAACUGACACUGAGGCUCGAAAGUGUGGGUAUCAAACAGGAUUAGAUACCCCGGUAGUC
This 460-nucleotide ribosomal RNA is filed under the name uncultured bacterium. Its description in RNAcentral is "partial 16S ribosomal RNA". It matches the Rfam family "Bacterial small subunit ribosomal RNA", at positions 338 to 795 of the family's 1533-position model. The record is from RNAcentral.